Molecule: ribosomal RNA, 414 nt
Filed under: uncultured microorganism
Description: bacterial SSU rRNA
Rfam family: Archaeal small subunit ribosomal RNA
Source: RNAcentral
CAGCAGCCGCGGUAAUACCGGCGGCCCGAGUGGUGGCCGCUAUUAUUGGGCCUAAAGCGUCCGUAGCCGGGCCCGUAAGUCCCUGGCGAAAUCCCACGGCUCAACCGUGGGGCUUGCUGGGGAUACUGCGGGCCUUGGGACCGGGAGAGGCGGGGGGGACCCCUGGGGGAGGGGGGAAAACCUAUAAUCCCAGGGGGGCCGCCAGUGGCGAAGGCGCCCCGCUGGGACGGGUCCGACGGUGAGGGACGAAGGCCAGGGGAGCAAACCGGAUUAGAUACCCGGGUAGUCCUGGCGGUAAAGGAUGCGGGCUAGGUGUCGGGUGAGCUUCGAGCUCGCCCGGUGCCGUAGGGAAGCCGUUAAGCCCGCCGCCUGGGGAGUACGGCCGCAAGGCUGAAACUUAAAGGAAUUGGCGGG